ACGUUCAUUUCAACUGACAGGAACACAGAAACAUUCCACAUUCAUUUCAACUGACAGGAACACAGAAACAUUCCACAUUCAUUUCAACUGACAGGAACACAGAAACAUUCCACAUUCAUUUCAACUGACAGGAACACAGAAACAUUCCACGUUCAUUUCAACUGACA
Oncorhynchus keta (chum salmon) is the source of this 167-nucleotide long non-coding RNA. RefSeq lists it as uncharacterized. The transcript is spliced from 3 exons. Lineage: Eukaryota; Metazoa; Chordata; Actinopteri; Salmoniformes; Salmonidae. The record is from RefSeq and is a predicted model, not a curated record.